Pan troglodytes (chimpanzee) is the source of this 2646-nucleotide long non-coding RNA. NCBI's taxonomy places the organism in Eukaryota, Metazoa, Chordata, Mammalia, Primates, Hominidae. The record is from Ensembl.
GAGUGCUGCUCUGGGGUGCUUUUCAAAAUCCAUGCGUCUCAUGAAUUAUGCUGCCAGAUCUAGGAGGAGCCAGUCCUCUUUGGAACUAGGUGAACUGGGCUAAUCAGAAACAGGCCCAUCUCAUCCGCCAGCCAGUUUGCUCCAGGGCCAGAGGAAAGCCGGGGCCUCUGGCUCCCACAUCCCAUGUGGCAACCAACCAUCAGGUUAUGCUUGGCUUUGCAACGAUCAGGAAAGGCCUCACGUCUGCCUAACUGCAAAACAAUUUGGUUGGCUUAUAAAUUGCUGCCUCUAUCAUGUGCUUCUGAAUUAAAAGGAACGGAUGGUUUUUAAAGGUUUAUCUGUUUCAUUAUUAAUGCGGAAUGACCUCCUGCUGACAAAUUUCGAUUUUCACACGGUUUCUUUGCUGAUGCAGUAUCUCUGCCACCCAUGCUCUAGGGCAGCGUGGAGCCACUUCAGAGCGUGCCUUUUGUGACCCGGCGCCCAGCAGGGUGUUCUUUUCUGAGUGCAAAGAGAGAAUCCACUGACCUCAUUUGCUUCCAUCCUGUGAACCUCUCAGUGGGUUUCAGAACACCCGGGUCUGAACAGAGAAGCUUCAGAAUACUUUGUCCGACUAGAGAACUUCUUUAUGGUGGGAGGAAAAAAUGUUGCCAGUCCCACUUCCCAGACACCUGGAAUUCAUGAAGUCUGAGGACUUCUUUCAUUUUACUUUCAACUAAAAGCUCUAGCACGAAACAGCAAAGGCUCACAGAACUAAAGAUCAGGAGGUGGCCCUGUGAGAGGGUAUUCGGCCUGGAUCCCUGGUGAAACUCCAUCAUUGAGCAGCAUAUCUACUUCAGAAAGCGUGGAAAGAAAAGAGCCUGGUGGGAAAAGUCUAUCAAGUGAUAAUGACGUGCCCUUAUGGAAAAAAUUCUGGGUUCAGAAACAAUAGAGAUACCAAACAAGAUAAGACUAAGCCACAGAGAUAUCUGAAAAGCUGCCAUCAAUCAAAGCUCUUUGUGAAGCUGGUUAGUGCAGGUUCCAUUGUUCUAAGGAGCAGGCAAAAGGAACAAAUAAAAUCCAGCUGUUUCUUCAUUCUUGCACCAGAAUUCAACCCAGCCAGCAAGACGGAGGGCCUCCCAAAUGCUGCGAUCUGCUCCGUGCUGCUCUGCUGGGCCGUCACUGCCCCCUGUGCGUUCCUGCGGGCGAGGUCUUCUCCCAGAAGCGAGACAAUGAACAGGACAGAAGUGAAUUCAUUGGCCAGACCCUCAAACUGUUGGUGAAGAGGAACGUUUCCUUGGAAUUAAGCUGCCGCUAAGUAAAGGUCAAGGCACGGGGCAGCUGGAUGUCCGUGUGGAUCCUGCAAAUGGAGAGGCUCUGCUGUGGAAACAGAAUGGAACUUAACCUCAGCUAAAACAGUGGUGGAGAGCAGAGUGAUUUUCUAAAUAAUUAAGUUUUUUCUUUUACAUACAUUAAGCCAUACACACAGCCUGAGGCACUGACAUUUUAAUUAUUUUAAUCAGUCUUUGAUGACCUCCUAGGGUUUGAGUUUUUUUGUUUUGUUUUUUUUUUUUUUUUCCAAUGGAGUCUGGCUCUGUAGCCCAGGCUGGAGUGCAAUGGCGCGAUCUCAGGAUCUCGGCUCACUGCAACCUCCACCUCCCGGGUUCAAGCGAUUCUCCUGCCACAGCCUCCCAAGUAGCUGGGCCUACAGGCACGCACCACCAUGCCCUGCUAAUUGUUUGUAUUUUUAGUAGAGACAGGGUUUCACCAUGUUAGCCAGGAUGGUCUUGAUCUCCUGACCUCAUGAUCGGCCCACCUCGGUUUGAGCUUUUUUGAGGAACCCAGUCAUGAGUUCCAACUGCUCAUCUUUGCCUGACCCUCUAGUCAAGGUCCUGCUGUGCUAGUUCUUUUUCCCCCUACAUUUUCCCCAGAAGACUCAGAGCCUACUGUGUAGCAGGCACUGCACCAGGCACUUUGCUAUGUUUCCUCUUUAAAUCUUCUCAGUAACCCUAUGAAGGAGGUCUCCUUUUACAGUAGAGAGAGCAGAGGUGCCAAGAGAUUAAGGAGGUUGCUUAAGGCCAAAGAGCAAGGACCUGGCAAACUUGAGAUGGCUCUUUGGAUCUGUACAUCUGUGCACUUGUCUUUGCAAAAAUGUUCAUUGGCCACCACCAAUUUUCUUACCUGACUAUAGGCCAAAGAAUGCACGUUUUUUAUAUUCUGCAUAAAGUUUACAUUCAAUUUCUUUUCCAAUUUUUUUUUAAAAGACCUUAGGGAGACAUCACAAAUUUUAUUUCUUUUACGUUUUUCUCUCAUCGAAUCUCUUUCUUUCCCUCUUUGACAGCUUUAUUGCAUAGGUUUAAGUAGUCUCACUACCCGCGAGAAUUUGAUAAGAAAUCAGAGAUAAUAAAUCUCAAAUUGAGAAAGCAUUCAUGGCCCAUUAGUCAUUUUCUAAGUAAAUAGUUACUCCUGGAAAUGCCAUCAUCCUGGAACCUACUUCUUCACAGAUGAGACCAUAUGAGCAAAUCCAUAAAAGCAUUUUUGGCCCUGAACACUCAGAGGAGAAGUAUGAUGGGGUGAUGCAGAAAUGUUCUUAGAAUUAUCAACAUUUGUUACUGUAGAAUAGCCAUAGUUUUUUACAUUGGGAAUACUCAUGUGCCAGAAGAAAAAGAA